Molecule: ribosomal RNA, 703 nt
Filed under: uncultured Acidobacteriota bacterium
Lineage: Bacteria; Pseudomonadati; Acidobacteriota
Description: bacterial SSU rRNA
Rfam family: Bacterial small subunit ribosomal RNA
Source: RNAcentral
AGUCGCACGAGAAAGGGUAGCAAUACCUGAGUAAAGUGGCGCACGGGUGAGUAACACGUGAAUUAUCUACCUCCGAGUGGGGAAUAACUGAGAGAAAUCUUAGCUAAUACCGCAUAACACUUACGAGUCAAAGCAGCAAUGCGCUUGGAGAGGAGUUCGCGGCCGAUUAGUUAGUUGGCGGGGUAAUGGCCCACCAAGACGAUGAUCGGUAUCCGGCCUGAGAGGGCGCACGGACACACUGGAACUGAAACACGGUCCAGACUCCUACGGGAGGCAGCAGUGGGGAAUUUUGCGCAAUGGGGGAAACCCUGACGCAGCAACGCCGCGUGGAGGAUGAAGUAUCUCGGUACGUAAACUCCUUUCGAUGGGGAAGAUGAUGACGGUACCCAUAGAAGAAGCCCCGGCUAACUUCGUGCCAGCAGCCGCGGUAAUACGAGGGGGGCAAGCGUUGUUCGGAUUUAUUGGGCGUAAAGGGUGCGUAGGCGGUUUGGCAAGUCUCGUGUGAAAUCUAUGGGCUCAACCCAUAGCCUGCACGAGAAACUACCGGGCUUGAGUGAUGGAGAGGUGAGUGGAAUUUCCGGUGUAGCGGUGAAAUGCGUAGAUAUCGGAAGGAACACCUGUGGCGAAAGCGGCUCACUGGACAUUAACUGACGCUGAUGCACGAAAGCUAGGGGAGCAAACAGGAUUAGAUACCCUGGUAGUC